GCUUUAUAUUGAUAUUUAUUUGAUUAAAUUUGUGUUAAAUAAAAAUUUAGUAAAUAAAUUUAUUUUAUUGGGGCGAUAAAAGUAAAAUUAUUAUUAACUGCUUGAAUUUAAAUACAAUAUAUAAAUGAUUAAAUUUUUGGAUGAUCCUGAUUAAAGAUUAAAAGUUUAAGUU
This 172-nucleotide ribosomal RNA is filed under the name Ptychognathus barbatus. RNAcentral describes it as "partial 16S rRNA". The record is from RNAcentral. Lineage: Eukaryota; Metazoa; Arthropoda; Malacostraca; Decapoda; Varunidae.